UGCGAUCAUACCAAAGACUAAUGCACCGGAUCCCAUCGGAACUGUUAAGCGUGCGUGGGCGAGAGUAGUACUAGGAUGGGUGACCUGAAGUCCUCGUGUUGCAC
Molecule: non-coding RNA, 104 nt
Organism: Rhododendron molle
Lineage: Eukaryota; Viridiplantae; Streptophyta; Magnoliopsida; Ericales; Ericaceae
Source: the annotation of a GenBank genome assembly